GGGUUUUCAACCCUGGUCAUCUAUCUGGAUCAUUAUUCAAAAUGCAAAACCAGAAACUUUGGAGUGAGAUUUUGUUAUCUGCAUUUUUGAAAAGCUUCCCUGGUGAGGGCAUAAAACUACAGCAUACCUGAGGUUAGCCUGAAAAAGAAGGACUGAGAAGUGCAAAAAUACCGAGAAAGAAGAAUUUCACAGGAAUAAGAUGAUGCUUCAUAAUGUUUUGUAACAUUAGAUCAUCUUUCUUCCUGAAUUCAUUGCUUGCAUCCUGGGUAUGGCUGAGAUGAUGAGAAUAAGAUGGCAGUGAAGAAAUAAAAUGAAGGAACAGGAAAUUCAUGGUUGACGUUCAAACCUGCUACAUUACCUUUUCCAACCCCUGUCAAGUUGUAGAAGCUUCAAGCCUCACAAAACAUAGACUUGCGCCCAUGUUAUGACUUCCUCCAAGCAGGGUCCUGACAUUGCUAAUCUUCUGAAUGAACAGCAGUUACAUUGAUAGAAAGGAGUUAUAAACUUACAGCGCUUUGUUUUUUUUGAUUGGGAAAAAUUCCCAUCCACUUCUCUUUCUAUGCCUUUUAUUCAUCACUUGUCAGUACAAAAAUACAACAAAUAAUAAAGGACACAUAUUUUCAUAAAAUAGCAAUUAAACAAUGUCUAUUUUUAUUUCAACCAAGAGUAGAGCAAUAAGUUGUAUCCGAAAUGAGAGAAAUUAUUUCCAUAUUAUGUUGAAUAAUACACAUAUCAGAGCAAAGACCAUAGGAAGACAGACAAGGAGAAAACAUAAGAGCUAUUAUAAGUAGUGAUUGUGAGAAAACAUAUGCAAUAUACUAGAUAAAAGGAGAAUAUCUCUAAUAGCUGACAGACAGCUCCCUGGAUCAUUUGUGUUUCUGCACAUCUUAUAAAUAAGGCAUUAACUGUCCUUUGUUCUGGACUAUGUCUUCAAGAAUGUAUGGAUAGCAAACAACAUUGGAAGUUAUAGACAGUGUCUAUCUCUGGAGCAAAAGGCAGGAAUGCUGACUGUCCAUUAUAAAAACUUUGGGUUUCUUCCCUUUAACACAACUUACUGAAUGUGCAGAUGUCAUCUAGCCCCAUCGGCAACAUCCGUGUGGGACUUGUAGGUGAAGAGAACUGACCCAAACAUACUGAUGCUCAUGAUGCUUCCUGUGUCCUGAGAAAUAAUGCCCUUUGUCUCUGACCCAGGAGUCUUGUGUCUUCUGCCUGCAUCCAUAAAACUAUAGCAGAAUGACUGUUAGUUUUCAAGUAGUGUAAAAUUUCAAAUCUUCACAGAUUUUGACACGUAUACAGUGAGCUUAUGCAACUUAAUAAAAACGAAUAGAAAAGCAAACUAGUAAGAUAAAUAUUUAGUAGAACAUAAAAAUGUAAACAUCUAUACUUUAAUACCUUUACAUCUUUACUCAUCAGGAGUUAUUAAAUAAUAUUAAGAUGUCAUUUUGCACUCAUCAAUUGACAAAAACUAAAAAAAAUAGCAAUAGGAACCAGACGCAGAGAAGAGAUAGACAAACAGAUACUUUCAUGUAUUGCUGGUGGAUGUGAAAAGUAAUAAAACAGUUUAGAAAAGUUGUGUGUUUAUAUCUUCUUGGCCAGCCGUCCCACUUUUGAAAUCUAUCAAAGGGAAUAAAACUCCAAUGACUCUGUCUGUCUUUCUUUCUCUCUGUCUCCCUCUCUAUAUAUACACAAGUAUAUGUGUGUGUAUGUAUGUAUGUGUAAUCUUUAGAUAUAGGUAGCUUAUCCUUGUCUGAAAUGGGAUGCAAUUAUGAGAAAGAAAAUAUUAGAUCACUAUGUAUUAACUUGAAAGGAUGCCCAUGAAUUAUUAAGUUACAAAAUUACAAAUGUAAUAUAAGAAGUGAUUUGAUUCUUCUUUUGAAAAAGAAUAAACAUAGUACAUACAUGUGUGUAUGUGUAACUUUAUUGUAAUCUGUCACAAUGGGCAAGUAAGGAUUGAAUAUAUUAUUUAAUCCAAAGGUAACUGCAAAUUGACUUUCCUCUGGUGCUGUGGAAGAGAUUAAUAACUUACACUGAGCUAGCAUCUCAAUCUCAAUAGCAGCUUAGUCAAAGCUGCAGUUAGGCUUUGGAAUCAGACAGACUGGAAUUCCUAUCUGGAUUGGACAGCUGACUGGCUGAAUGAACCUGGGCAAGUCAUUUGGUCUUUCUGAGCCCCUGUUUAUUAUCUGUUAAAAUGGAAAUAACAAUAGUGUCUACCUCACAUAUUUUUAACUUACAGUUCUGUCAUAGAGUCAAUGAUGGUAUUGGUAAUGAAAUUUACCACUUAAAGUGGAUAUUUUAUGUGAUUCUCUUCUUGUCUUUUAAAAAUAGUAGAUAGCUCACUUAGCUGCCUAUACAGAAAUGAUAAUACCUCAGAUUUUCUCACUAUUUUUCUAUACAAGCUCAUCAAACAACAAUUGAACAAAGGCCUUGAGGUGCCCAGAAAGCCGAAGUGUGCACAUUGUUAGUGCUGUUUAUCUUCAAUGAAGAUUAGAACUGCGACCAUUAGAUGGCUUAAUGGGUGUGAAGAAAACCUUUAGUAAUACAGCUAAAGUAUCAUUAGCAUGUUUACAGUUUACCAUCUGAAACAACUGUUAUAUUUUACAAAUGAAAAAAUAAUUAUCCCACACCUUCCUUAAGUAAAAACCAUAGUUUCCUGUCAAAUUGAGUGCAAGAAAUCCCUAAAAAAAUGUAAAAAGGCUGUUGUCCAAGUUUUUAUUUCAAUAACAUCAGAGAAAAUAAACCAGCUGAGCUACUUGUCAUUUUCUUUAAUUUCUCAACUAUGGAGUGCUUCAGUGAAGGAGCUAUUUAUAACUCUCAUUUCUCCUUUAAAUUCUUACCUUGUAGCGAUCUAGCUAGAUUGGAGAAAAGCCCUAAUUUUGUUCAGGAUUGCAUAGGCUGCCAUCAAAUCAUGGUUUUGAAUUAAUCAAAAGUCUGAUUACUCUCCCUGAAACUACACAAGUAUUAAUGGUUUCCUUGUCAGCACUUAAUGAGAAUUUUCUUUGGAUUGAUAGUCUCCAGUGCUUUGUUCAUUCACGUAUGUACAAUUUUUAAUCAUCAGUUUAGGUAAGAUGUGAGUAUUUGUUUUCAAGUUGUAGAAGAUAAUGGGACUAUUAAUGUAACUUAAAAGUAGAAUCUGGAAAGUUGGCAUGCUAAAAUAUGAACAUAAAGAUGCUGGAAUCUGGAAGCUCCAUGUCUCAGGGUGUUGAUAUUAUUGUGGAAACCAAAUGAAAUCCUACAGAGCAAGGACUAUGCUAUAGACACUGCCUCUAUAUUUCUAGGACCUAGAGCAAUACCUGGCACCCAGCCCCAGGGGAAGAAAAGGGAGGAGGAAAACACUUGACCAAAAUGCAGCAAAGCGAGACAUUAGUUAAAACAUUCACUUCGUGCUAGAAAGAAGUUGUGGCUUCAUUUAUGUGUCAGAGCUUCUGUUAAACAUUUUCUAAAGUCAACAUACACAUGAUGCUUUAUUUCCUCUAAGAUAAAAUGUCAGUUUCCGGGAAUAGAAUCAUGGUGAAUGCCCCUUCUGUCUUAUCCCUCUCAAUCCCUUGUCAAGCGACAACUUCAAUAGCUAUUGAAAGGAAAGGCACAUGUGCACAGAGAGUUAAAACAUUUCUUACACGGUGUUAAGAAGGUCAGCAGAGAUUUCAAGGUCAUUUUUGCCUUCUAUUUUCUUAGGACUCUGAGGAGAAAGAUGAUUUAUGAAAUGCAUUCCUUUUCCAUAAAGUGUGUUUGGUUUGGAGAGGAUACCAUUUAAGCAUUAAAUUAAAUCAUCUAAUCAUCAUCAAUAAAAGCCAGCUUUUAGUCACUUUUUAAAGAUUUUUGAGCACUAUAAAAUAAAAUCUCAAAGCUUUUAAUUUCAAAAUAAACAACAUAAUUGAAAUAGUUUAUUUUUUAAUACAUGAGGCUGUUUAAGAGGCCUAGGGGACCUAGAAAUAUUAAAUGCUCUUUUCCAGAUGGAAAGACAGGCAGAGGAAGAACCAGUGCGCAGAGAAGUCAGUAAAUGAGAUGGCAUGACAUAGCAGUUAAGACCACAGCCUCGAGAGCAAGCCAACACUUAAUGUAUUUCCGUUCUCAGACAAAUCCCUUCACCUCUCUGUGGCUCGAUUUUCUCAUUCAUAAAAUGUACAUAAUGGUAGUAACUUUCUCUCAAGGUUGUUUUGAUGAUUAGAUGAUUUAAUUUAUAUAAAGCUGUCAGAAAUAUGUCUAACACACAUUAAAUGAGCCUUUGCAGUUAUAAAAAGACAGAAAUAUGUUGGAAAUAAAGAUAAAUACCAAAAUAGUAAUUAUUUGUUAAAUGUGACAGGUUUAUAUCUCUUGCCUCCAAGCUCCCAGAAACAAAAGACAGGAUUCUUGUAGCUCUUCCAUCCAGUGAGUCCAAAACUGUGCAGAUGGGCAAUUGCUAGUACAGAUUCAGGGACUUUAAGAGAAAGAACAGAAUGCAGAAAUCACAGCUGUGUCCAAGAGAUGAAUAUUCCAGUUCCACAAAUGGCUGUCCAUCUCCCGGAGUCAUUGUGCCAGUAGCAACUGUGGGCUCACUUGGAAAAGGAAUGAGGUGGGCUGGGUGAGGUGGCUCACACCUGUAAUCCCAGCACUUUGGGAGGCUGAGGUGGGCGGAUCACCUGAGGUCGGGAGUUCCAGACCAGCCUGAACAACAUGGUGAAACCCUGUCUCUACUAAAAAUACAAACGUUAGCUGGGCGUGGUGGCAGGAAUGUGUAAUCCCAGCUACUUGGGAGGCUGAGGCAGGAGGAUCGCUCAAACCUAGAAGCUGGAGGUUACAGUGAGCUGAGACCAUGCCAUUGCACUCCAGCCUGGGCAAUAAGAGCAAAACUCCAUCAGAACGAAUGAAAAAGAAAAAAGAGAAAGAAAGAAAGAAAGAGGGAAGGAAAGAAAGAAAGAAAAGGAAGAAAGAAAAAGAAAGAAAGAAAGAAGAAGGAAAGAAGGAAGGAAAGAAAGAAAGAAAGAAAAUGAAGUGGUUCUUAACCUGUGUUUUGUGGUGUUUGCUCAUCAUGACCCUGUCACCUGUGUGCUUCCAAAGUUGCAAAGCGUGACAUUAUAUUUUCUUCUUCCAUCAGUAAUGGGUUUGCUUAACAUCUGCCAGAGUAAAGGUUUAACUGAGCACACCCUAUGUGUUGGCUGAGAGUCAGUUUCCAGUCAAAAAGCACAGUGACCAGCUUAUCGGGAAGCUCAAACAGAAGCAAGGAGAAGAUCCACAAGUUGGAUGCUGCAAAAUAUUCUACUGAGAAAUGAAUUGUCCAUGUUUACCAGCAUCUCUAAACUCUCUGAAUGAUUCUCCUGGUCUCUUCCACCGUGAUUCUCUGUAGACCCUCCUUCUGAAUACAGUCAAUGUCUCAGCAAUCCUAUGGCACCCUCCAUCUCACAUCUCUCUCCUUACUUUCUACUUAAUUUUCAUUGCAUUUAGUCUAGGGUUUGGGAGCUCUGAUAUAACAGUUGAAAGUAGCAGAGCUAGUUUGGUUGUCUUCUAAUAAAUUCUAAAGUGGCUUUUCCCUCCUCCUUAAUUUUGCUGUCUUCAGAAUAUAUGAGUACUUG
This 5546-nucleotide long non-coding RNA is filed under the name Homo sapiens (human). RNAcentral's name for it is "HSALNT0044167". Lineage: Eukaryota; Metazoa; Chordata; Mammalia; Primates; Hominidae. The record is from RNAcentral.